RNAcentral lists this ribosomal RNA (468 nucleotides) under uncultured bacterium. Its description in RNAcentral is "partial 16S ribosomal RNA". It matches the Rfam family "Bacterial small subunit ribosomal RNA", at positions 28 to 507 of the family's 1533-position model. The record is from RNAcentral.
GACGAACGCUGGCGGCGUGCUUAACACAUGCAAGUCGAACGGAAAGGCCCUGCUUUUGUGGGGUGCUCGAGUGGCGAACGGGUGAGUAACACGUGAGUAACCUGCCCUUGACUUUGGGAUAACUUCAGGAAACUGGUGCUAAUACCGGAUAGGAGCUCCUGCUGCAUGGUGGGGGUUGGAAAGUUUCGGCGGUUGGGGAUGGACUCGCGGCUUAUCAGCUUGUUGGUGGGGUAGUGGCUUACCAAGGCUUUGACGGGUAGCCGGCCUGAGAGGGUGACCGGCCACAUUGGGACUGAGAGACGGCCCAGACUCCUACGGGAGGCAGCAGUGGGGAAUAUUGCACAAUGGGCGGAAGCCUGAUGCAGCAACGCCGCGUGCGGGAUGACGGCCUUCGGGUUGUAAACCGCUUUCGCCUGUGACGAAGCGUGAGUGACGGUAAUGGGUAAAGAAGCACCGGCUAACUACGUG